GGGACUGAGGCUUCAGUGUGUUAGUAGAACAGGUUAGUGAACUCAGCCCCAGGACCAGCUGGAUGAGGGGACUGAGGCUUCAGUGUGUUAGUAGAACAGGUUUGUGAACUCAGCCCCCGGACCAGCUGGAUGAGGGGACUGAGGCUUCAGUGUGUUAGUAGAACAGGUUAGUGAACUCAGGACCAGCUGGAUGAGGGGACUGAGGCUUCAGUGUGUUAGUAGAACAGGUUAGUGAACUCAGCCCCAGGACCAGCUGGAUGAGGGGACUGAGGCUUCAGUGUGUUAGUAGAACAGGUUAGUGAACUCAGGACCAGCUGGAUGAGGGGACUGAGGCUUCAGUGUGUUAGUAGAACAGGUUAGUGAACUCAGGACCAGCUGGAUGAGGGGACUGAGGCUUCAGUGUGUUAGUAGAACAGGUUUGUGAACUCAGGACCAGCUGGAUGAGGGGACUGAGGCUUCAGUGUGUUAGUAGAACAGGUUAGUGAACUCAGGACCAGCUGGAUGAGGGGACUGAGGCUUCAGUGUGUUAGUAGAACAGGUUAGUGAACUCAGGACCAGCUGGAUGAGGGGACUGAGGCUUCAGUGUGUUAGUAGAACAGGUUAGUGAACUCAGCCCCAGGACCAGCUGGAUGAGGGGACUGAGGCUUCAGUGUGUUAGUAGAACAGGUUUGUGAACUCAGCCCCAGGACCAGCUGGAUUAGGGGACUGAGGCUUCAGUGUGUUUGUAGAACAGGUUAGUGAACUCAGGACCAGCUAGAUGAGGGGACUGAGGCUUCAGUGUGUUAGUAGAACAGGUUUGUGAACUCAGCCCCAGGACCAGCUGGAUGAGGGGACUGAGGCUUCAGUGUGUUAGUAGAACAGGUUUGUGAACUCAGCCCCAGGACCAGCUGGAUGAGGGGACUGAGGCUUCAGUGUGUUAGUAGAACAGGUUAGUGAACUCAGCCCCAGGACCAGCUGGAUGAGGGGACUGAGGCUUCAGUGUGUUAGUAGAACAGGUUAGUGAACUCAGCCCCAGGACCAGCUGGAUGAGAGGACUGAGGCUUCAGUGUGUUAGUAGAACAGGUUAGUGAACUCAGGACCAGCUGGAUGAGGGGACUGAGGCUUCAGUGUGUUAGUAGAACAGGUUAGUGAACUCAGGACCAGCUGGAUGAGGGGACUGAGGCUUCAGUGUGUUAGUAGAACAGGUUAGUGAACUCAGGACCAGCUGGAUGAGGGGACUGAUGCUUCAGUGUGUUAGUAGAACAGGUUUGUGAACUCAGGACCAGCUGGAUGAGGGGACUGAGGCUUCAGUGUGUUAGUAGAACAGGUUAGUGAACUCAGGACCAGCUGGAUGAGGGGACUGAGGCUUCAGUGUGUUAGUAGAACAGGUUUGUGAACUCAGCCCCAGGACCAGCUGGAUGAGGGGACUGAGGCUUCAGUGUGUUAGUAGAACAGGUUAGUGAACUCAGCCCCAGGACCAGCUGGAUGAGGGGACUGAGGCUUCAGUGUGUUAGUAGAACAGGUUUGUGAACUCAGCCCCAGGACCAACUGGAUGAGGGGACUGAGGCUUCAGUGUGUUAGUAGAACAGGUUAGUGAACUCAGCCCCAGGACCAGCUG
Molecule: long non-coding RNA, 1597 nt
Organism: Oncorhynchus keta (chum salmon)
Lineage: Eukaryota; Metazoa; Chordata; Actinopteri; Salmoniformes; Salmonidae
Exons: 6
Source: RefSeq, a predicted model, not a curated record